RNAcentral lists this ribosomal RNA (610 nucleotides) under Erwinia persicina. Its description in RNAcentral is "bacterial SSU rRNA". It matches the Rfam family "Bacterial small subunit ribosomal RNA", at positions 93 to 699 of the family's 1533-position model. Lineage: Bacteria; Pseudomonadati; Pseudomonadota; Gammaproteobacteria; Enterobacterales; Erwiniaceae. The record is from RNAcentral.
GAGUGGCGGACGGGUGAGUAAUGUCUGGGAAACUGCCCGAUGGAGGGGGAUAACUACUGGAAACGGUAGCUAAUACCGCAUAACGUCUUCGGACCAAAGUGGGGGACCUUCGGGCCUCACACCAUCGGAUGUGCCCAGAUGGGAUUAGCUAGUAGGUGGGGUAACGGCUCACCUAGGCGACGAUCCCUAGCUGGUCUGAGAGGAUGACCAGCCACACUGGAACUGAGACACGGUCCAGACUCCUACGGGAGGCAGCAGUGGGGAAUAUUGCACAAUGGGCGCAAGCCUGAUGCAGCCAUGCCGCGUGUAUGAAAAAGGCCUUCGGGUUGUAAAGUACUUUCAGUGGGGAGGAAGGCGAUGAAGUUAAUAACUUCCUCGAUUGACGUUACCCGCAGAAGAAGCACCGGCUAACUCCGUGCCAGCAGCCGCGGUAAUACGGAGGGUGCAAGCGUUAAUCGGAAUUACUGGGCGUAAAGCGCACGCAGGCGGUCUGUGAAGUCGGAUGUGAAAUCCNCGGGCUCAACCUGGGAACUGCAUUCGAAACUGGCAGGCUAGAGUCUUGUAGAGGGGGGUAGAAUUCCNGGUGUAGCGNCGAAAUGCGUAGAGAUCA